This 201-nucleotide ribosomal RNA is filed under the name uncultured bacterium. RNAcentral's name for it is "partial 16S ribosomal RNA". It matches the Rfam family "Bacterial small subunit ribosomal RNA", at positions 581 to 793 of the family's 1533-position model. The record is from RNAcentral.
UUUAACCCGUACGGUAAUUGCUAUUUAGUAAACGUGGCGAGGACUAGAGUUCUUGUAGGAGGGGGGUAGGAAUUUCAGGUGUAGCGGUGAAAUGCGUAGAGAUCUGAAGGAAUACCAGUGGCGAAGGCCGGCCCCCUGGACAAAGACUGACGCUCAGAUGACGAAAGCGUGGGGAGCAAACAGGAUUAGAUACCCUGGUAG